CUGCCCUGCACUCUGGGACAAGCCCUGGAAACGGGGUCUAAUACCGGAUACGACACAGGAAGGCAUCUUCUCUGUGUGGAAAGCUCCGGCGGUGCAGGAUGAGCCCGCGGCCUAUCAGCUUGUUGGUGGGGUGAUGGCCUACCAAGGCGACGACGGGUAGCCGGCCUGAGAGGGCGACCGGCCACACUGGGACUGAGACACGGCCCAGACUCCUACGGGAGGCAGCAGUGGGGAAUAUUGCACAAUGGGCGAAAGCCUGAUGCAGCGACGCCGCGUGAGGGAUGACGGCCUUCGGGUUGUAAACCUCUUUCAGCAGGGAAGAAGCGCAAGUGACGGUACCUGCAGAAGAAGCACCGGCUAACUACGUGCCAGCAGCCGCGGUAAUACGUAGGGUGCGAGCGUUGUCCGGAAUUAUUGGGCGUAAAGAGCUCGUAGGCGGCUUGUCACGUCGGAUGUGAAAGCCCGGGGCUUAACCCCGGGUCUGCAUUCGAUACGGGCAGGCUAGAGUUCGGUAGGGGAGAUCGGAAUUCCUGG
RNAcentral lists this ribosomal RNA (534 nucleotides) under Streptomyces coelicolor. RNAcentral's name for it is "bacterial SSU rRNA". It matches the Rfam family "Bacterial small subunit ribosomal RNA", at positions 126 to 673 of the family's 1533-position model. The record is from RNAcentral. Lineage: Bacteria; Bacillati; Actinomycetota; Actinomycetes; Kitasatosporales; Streptomycetaceae.